Molecule: unclassified non-coding RNA, 229 nt
Filed under: Sakaguchia sp.
Lineage: Eukaryota; Fungi; Basidiomycota; Cystobasidiomycetes; Sakaguchiales; Sakaguchiaceae
Description: partial internal transcribed spacer region
Rfam family: Eukaryotic small subunit ribosomal RNA (bases 1-46)
Source: RNAcentral
AAGUCGUAACAAGGUUUCCGUAGGUGAACCUGCGGAAGGAUCAUUAAUGAAAUGUUAGGACGCUGUUUUUACAGGUCCGACCCUUUUAUUACCUUUCACACUGUGCACAUCACUACUUUUUUACACCCAUUUUUUAAACACUUAUAAAGUCAUUAGAAUGUAAACAGUCUCUUAAUUGAGCAUAAACUAUAACAAAACUUUCGGCAACGGAUCUCUUGGCUCUCCCAUC